CUGAACCAGCCAAGUAGCGUGCAGGAUGACGGCCCUAUGGGUUGUAAACUGCUUUUAUAUGGGAAUAAAGUGAGGGACGUGUCCCUUAUUGCAUGUACCAUACGAAUAAGGACCGGCUAAUUCCGUGCCAGCAGCCGCGGUAAUACGGAAGGUCCAGGCGUUAUCCGGAUUUAUUGGGUUUAAAGGGAGCGUAGGCUGUUUGUUAAGCGUGUUGUGAAAUGUAGGAGCUCAACUUUUAGAUUGCAGCGCGAACUGGCAGACUUGAGUGCGCACAACGUAGGCGGAAUUCAUGGUGUAGCGGUGAAAUGCUUAGAUAUCAUGACGAACUCCGAUUGCGAAGGCAGCUUACGGGAGCGCAACUGACGCUAAAGCUCGAAGGUGCGGGUAUCGAACAGGAUUAGAUACCCUGGUAGUCCGCACAGUAAACGAUGGAUGCCCGCUGUUAGCACCUAGUGUUAGCGGCUAAGCGAAAGCAUUAAGCAUCCCACCUGGGGAGUACGCCGGCAACGGUGAAACUCAAAGGAAUUGACGGGGGCCCGCACAAGCGGAGGAACAUGUGGUUUAAUUCGAUGAUACGCGAGGAACCUUACCCGGGCUUGAAUUGCAGAUGUUUAUAUCAGAGAUGAUAUAUUCCCUUCGGGGCAUUUGUGAAGGUGCUGCAUGGUUGUCGUCAGCUCGUGCCGUGAGGUGUCGGCUUAAGUGCCAUAACGAGCGCAACC
RNAcentral lists this ribosomal RNA (719 nucleotides) under uncultured bacterium. RNAcentral describes it as "bacterial SSU rRNA". It matches the Rfam family "Bacterial small subunit ribosomal RNA", at positions 383 to 1103 of the family's 1533-position model. The record is from RNAcentral.